AACAGGAUUAGAUACCCUGGUAGUCCACGCCGUAAACGAUGUCGACUUGGAGGUUGUGCCCUUGAGGCGUGGCUUCCGGAGCUAACGCGUUAAGUCGACCGCCUGGGGAGUACGGCCGCAAGGUUAAAACUCAAAUGAAUUGACGGGGGCCCGCACAAGCGGUGGAGCAUGUGGUUUAAUUCGAUGCAACGCGAAGAACCUUACCUGGUCUUGACAUCCACAGAACUUUCCAGAGAUGGAUUGGUGCCUUCGGGAACUGUGAGACAGGUGCUGCAUGGCUGUCGUCAGCUCGUGUUGUGAAAUGUUGGGUUAAGUCCCGCAACGAGCGCAACCCUUAUCCUUUGUUGCCAGCGGUCCGGCCGGGAACUCAAAGGAGACUGCCAGUGAUAAACUGGAGGAAGGUGGGGAUGACGUCAAGUCAUCAUGGCCCUUACGACCAGGGCUACACACGUGCUACAAUGGCGCACACAAAGGGAGGCGACCUCGCGAGAGCAAGCGGACCUCAUAAAGUAUGUCGUAGUCCGGAUUGGAGUCUGCAACUCGACUCCAUGAAGUCGGAAUCGCUAGUAAUCGUGGAUCGGAAUGCCACGGUGAAUACGUUCCCGGGCCUUGUACACACCGCCCGUCACACCAUGGGAGUGGGUUGCAAAAGAAGUAGGUAGCUUAACCUUCGGGAGGGCGCUUACCACUUUGUGAUUCAUGACUGGGGUGAAGUCGUAACAAGGUAACC
RNAcentral lists this ribosomal RNA (730 nucleotides) under uncultured bacterium. Its description in RNAcentral is "bacterial SSU rRNA". It matches the Rfam family "Bacterial small subunit ribosomal RNA", at positions 771 to 1501 of the family's 1533-position model. The record is from RNAcentral.